CUUGUAGGACAUCUGCAGGUAUUUAUUUGAAUUUUGUUGAAUUGUUCUCAUCAAUAUGAGAAGAGAGCAGGCUGAAUGGAAGAAAGUCAUUAUGACCACUGGGGCCACUAGGGGGUGUCCAGAGAAGGUAACUACUUUGCCCACGUCCUAAACUGGGCUUCCCUGGUGGCGCAGUGGUUGAGAGUCUGCCUGCCGAUGCAGGGGACGCGGAUUCGUGCCCCGGUCCGGGAAGAUCCCACAUGCCGCGGAGCGGCUGGGCCCGCGAGCCAUGGCCGCUGAGCCUGCGCGUCCGGAGCCUGUGCUCCGCAACGGGAGAGGCCACAACAGUGAGAGGCCCGUGUACCGGAAAAAAAAAAACAAAACAAAA
Long non-coding RNA from Orcinus orca (killer whale), 367 nucleotides. RefSeq lists it as uncharacterized. The transcript has 4 exons. The record is from RefSeq and is a predicted model, not a curated record. Lineage: Eukaryota; Metazoa; Chordata; Mammalia; Artiodactyla; Delphinidae.